GGAAAAAACAAGCAUUCAGAAUAGUUCCUCAGUUGAUGAUGCAUGAUGAUGGGUCAUGACUUAUUUUUGUUAAAGCUUUAAACAUUAAGGUGGUUAUGAAUGGUCCUUUUUCCAACAUAAUCUACAACCUUGUUGGUCUACUUGUCCAGAGUGAAUACAUUUGUAGCCAAAUCAUUUCGUCUGGAGGUCCUUCAUUUACAACACUAUGUUCCACACCACUCCACUCAUCAGCAGUCCAAACAUGACUUUCAUGGAACAUUUAGAACUCAAAAGAACACCCUGGUAACAUCGGUUUAUGAUAGAGAAAUUGUUAUUGAUGAUAGAGGACAUUGUUUUUGUAUUUUAAUCUGCUUGCUUAUCCUGUUUGCUGAGGCCUACUCUCCUGUCUGCUCAUGAAACAUAUAGGCUGGAGUUUGUUCAUGACAUUUGGUUGUGACACACUUCCUCUUUUGCAAAAGAUAAAGCGCUGGUUUAAUUCGGAUUUCUGGUCUCUGUCUCAUUUAUGUUAACAUCUUAAUAUCAUUUAUCUAACAGUUUAGUACAGCUAAAGACAGUAUGGGUGUACACAGUAAGGCACAGAACUGAGGCAGUAUUCCAUGUGUCAUAGGAUCAUAUGCAUUGGAUGUAGGGCUACUACAUAUUCACGGACAAGAUGACAGUGUCAGAGGUCAUGAUUCUCGUCAAAAGAAGUCAAGCAAGUAAAUUAUUACCAAUUGACAAGAAGUACCAGGAAAUUCAGCACAUAUGUGCUUAGCUGUUAUUCAGCAUACUUCACAUUUCACAGACUUGGAAUAUUUCCUGCUUGCUGACUUUUGACUUUUUUGGCUGUCUGGAGUGACGUGCCUUACCCAUCGGCCCAACCCAUUAUCAGUAUCAAACCAAACAAAGCACAAUGCUAUGCAAAAGUCAAGGAACAUGUCUAUCUUUCUGGCUGUUUGAAAACACAAACAAAGCUUUGCACGGACCCCGACUCUUAACCCGGUUUUAAUGAGCGCAACCUUGGAAGUGCCUUUGUAACGCCUCUGUUUGGCAGUCCGGCCCCCCUCAGAGCCGGGGCAUGCCGGGGAGGGUGUAAAAGGACUGUGGCUCGUUCCAGUUAGGCCUUAGACCUACAGGAGCGCACACACAAGACACACAAGUGUUGUUCCUCCCUAACCUGUUUGCCUUUUAAAGAAUCCUGCCAAAAUGUUGUCGCGGACACUUGUUGUUUCCUUGCUUUUUGCUGUAGCUGGUGUUGUUUUAUCUGCACCAGUGAAAGAUGGACAAGACUCAGAUGAACCAGGCAGUGAGACCGCAUCAAGCUCAGAGACCACCGGUGUGUAAAAUAGAAUCUAAAGUCUAAUCAUCUGUGUGUCCAUGUAUAGCCAUGUCUCCAGGUCAGGCUGACAACUUCAUAUUCACUGUACUCUGUGUACAUAUGAUAUAUCACCAAGGAAUUUGCAUUUCCCACAAUAUUUUCUAUAGUAGUUUAUAUUACAGCAUCUCUUUGUGUUGUACAUGUUACAAUGUCUAUUUCCACAGAUUUCAUAUACUUAUACUUUCUAUCUAACUAACUAUCUAUCCAAACAGAGGAUACAUCAGAGUCCACCUCAAAAGAUGAAGACGAUGAUACUGACACCACAUCUGAGGAGGAUACAUCAGAGUCCCUCUCAAAAGUAAAAAAACGUGAUGGUCUGACCCCUAGAAGUCCAGCCCAAAAAGACUCAGGAAUCACAGAUGGGAAAGACUCAGCUGAGGACGUUACAGGUGCAGACUCAGCUGACACCACAAAUCAGCCAGACAAGAGCUCAGAAGAGGAGUCAGACGCUGGGGACAAAGACCAAAAGGCCAAAGACAAAGACGCUGAAAUGAAGGGCGAAGACAAAAAAGCCCAAGACAAAGACGCCAAAGCCAAGAGCUCCGGCAGCCAGGAGGCAGGGGCCUCCACCAAAGAAGAUGGAGACGAAGACGACAUUAAGAGCAGCCAGGAGAUGCACGACAGCGCCAGCCAAGACUCCGAGUACGCCACCAAGGAGGAGAGUGAGGAGGAGAAGAGCGCUGAGUCAUCGGACGAUAAAGAGAGCAAGAACGCCAGCAAGAAAGACAAAGCCAGCAUGGAGGACAAAUCAGAAGAGGAUGCAGACAAAGUUGACUAGAGGAUACAUCAGAGUCCAUCUCAAAAGAGGAAAGCAUGGAGAAGAGCACUGAGGCAGAUUCCACAAGUAAGGACUGACUGGAAGUUUUAACACCUCCUGUAAUUCAGCAUGGCAACAUCGUGGACAUGAUGUCUGUCAGGGUUUUUGGACUGCUAUACCCUUCAUGACCCUGUGGGGUCCUCAGUGUUCCUGUUUUGUCUUUCACAUGUGUGUUGGCUUUAUUGUUUCAUUGAGUUCACCUGUGCCUUGUUUGUUACCCUUUAUAAGCCACCUGAUUUUCUGUGUGUUUGCAGAGUCUUGAAACUGACACCCUACGGUUAGGUUGAGUAAGUUGCGCUGAGAAUCGCUGCCUUUGAUGCUAACUGUGUGGAAACUUCUGCCUGACUCAAGUAAAGAAACCUUUUUUGAUUGCACCCAAGCAAGUCGUCUGUCUCUGUCUCUGCAUCUGAGUCAUCACCCUCUCGUAGCACAGUGGUAGGCAAUCCGCCUACUACGCUGGAGUCCCGACUGACCCUUAUAGUGUCAACACCAAACUAGGUCCCAAAGAAAUCUUACUGUUGAUCAUAUAGUGAUAUGUAAUAAUUGAUUGCUUUAGAGUCUGCCACCUCAAAGCUAUGAUCUUAAUUACUACUAUUACUACUACUAUUAAAUAAAAACUAUUCAGAUGUUCCUAAAAGCCGUUUAAUAAGACGCAAGUCUUUGGAGCUCUCACAUCGGACUAGUUAAUGUGGUCCUUUUAUUUUAUUUAGUCGACUAAUUUGAGUAUUUGUCUUUCGGAAAAGUUUAAUUUAUAUUUAUUUAGUAUUGUUAUUGUUUUUACUGCCUUUGGUCUUAUUUGGGUGAAAUAAAACCCCAUCUUUUC
Long non-coding RNA from Clupea harengus (Atlantic herring), 2997 nucleotides. The record is from Ensembl. Lineage: Eukaryota; Metazoa; Chordata; Actinopteri; Clupeiformes; Clupeidae.